GCUACGGGAGGCAGCAGUGAGGAAUAUUGGUCAAUGGACGAGAGUCUGCACCAGCCAAGUAGCGUGAAGGAUGACUGCCCUAUAGGUUGUAAACUUCUUUUAUAAAGGGACAAAAUCAGGCUCGAGAGCCUGACCGAGGGUACUUGAAGACAAAGCAUCGGCUAACUCCGUGCCAGCAGCCGCGGUAAUACGGAGGAUGCGAGCGUUAUCCGGAUUUAUUGGGUUUAAAGGGUGCAUAGGCGGACUGUUAAGUCAGCGGUAAAAGCCCGGGGCGCAACCCCGGCGAGCCGUUGAAACGGGCUGUCUAGAGAUGUCGAGAGGUAUGAGGAAUGCGCAGUGUAGCGGUGAAAUGCUUAGAUAUUGCGCAGAACUCCGAUUGCGAAGGCAGCAUACCGGCGGCGAUCUGACGCUGAGGCACGAAAGCGUGGGUAUCGAACAGGAUUAGAUACCCGUGUAGUC
RNAcentral lists this ribosomal RNA (459 nucleotides) under uncultured bacterium. RNAcentral describes it as "partial 16S ribosomal RNA". It matches the Rfam family "Bacterial small subunit ribosomal RNA", at positions 338 to 795 of the family's 1533-position model. The record is from RNAcentral.